GCGGGGCUUAACAUGUGGCGGGGGUGUGGUCCAACUGCGGCGAGGGCGGGGUUAAAUGUGCCCCCCUACUUUUGUCCCUGGCCCACCAUGUGCCCCCCCUAAAAAUGAAUCCUAGAGACGCCACUGCAUCAGACUACACCCCCAAACACCACACUGCACCCCUCACACACACACAUUACACUCCAAACACCACACUGCACCCUCACAUACACACACUAAACCCCAAACAUCACACAACACCCUUCGCAUGCACACACUACACCCCACUGCACCCCACUGCACCCCUCACAUGCACACACUAAACCCCAAACAGCACAUUACACCCCACACAUGCACACAAUACACCCCAAACAUCACACUACACCCUUCACAUGCACACACUACACCCCAAACACCACACAGCACCACACUCACACACACACACACACACACACACACUGGACACCACACAGCACCCCUCACACACCCUGCACCCCAAACACACAGUGCACCCUCACACAAACACACAGUGCAUCCUUCACACACACUGCACCCCAAACACACACUGCACCCCUCACACACAUAGUGCACCCUUCACACACACACUGCACGCCUCACACACUGCACCCUUUACACACACACAUUGCACACCCUGCAUCCCCAACACACAUUACAUUCUAGACACACAUACUACAUCCCUUAUACACACACACUACAUCCCUUAUACACACACCUUAGAUCCCAUACAUAACUAUGGAUCCUCUACACACUAUAAUCCCUAUACAAAAGCUGAAUCUUACACAAACACACACACACAUACACGAACACUGAAUCUCUUAUGCACACUCAAGGUUCUCCACACACACACUAGGUCCCCUACAGGAACAUAAUUCACCACAUACACACACUAAAUUAAAGAUGACAAAACACCCCCUCUCUCUGGCCUGCCCCCUUCUCAGUGGGCCUCUGUGAUUCAAAAACGCCCGGGCCGAAUUUCUUCCCCAGUCCGGCCCUGCCUGGCAGGAUGCAGAUGCGUCACCAAUAGGGAUGUCCCGAACAGUUUGCCGAACGGUUCGCCGCGGACAGCGAACAUAUGCGGUAAACUUUGACCCUGUACCUCACAGUCAGCAGACACAUCCAGCCAAUCAACAGCAGACCCUCC
Molecule: non-coding RNA, 1141 nt
Organism: Pelobates cultripes (western spadefoot toad)
Lineage: Eukaryota; Metazoa; Chordata; Amphibia; Anura; Pelobatidae
Source: the annotation of a GenBank genome assembly